AGAGUUUGAUCCUGGCUCAGGAUGAACGCUGGCGGCAGGCUUAAUACAUGCAAGUCGAACGGUAACGACCGGUAGCAAUACUGGGGCGACGAGUGGCGCACGGGUGCGUAACGCGUAUGCAACCUACCCUCAACCGGGGCAUAACGCCGAGAAAUUGGCGCUAAUAUCCCAUGUGUAUAUGGAGUGGCAUCUCUUCAUAUAUAAAGAUCCGUUGGUUAAGGAUGGGCAUGCGUAACAUUAGCUAGUUGGCGGGGUAACGGCCCACCAAGGCGACGAUGUUUAGGGGUUCUGAGAGGAUUCACCCCCACACUGGAACUGAGACACGGUCCAGACUCCUACGGGAGGCAGCAGUAGGGAAUAUUGGGCAAUGGAGGCAACUCUGACCCAGCCAUGCCGCGUGAAGGAAGACGGCCCUAUGGGUUGUAAACUUCUUUUGCCGCAGAGUAACCGCGGGGACGAGUCCCUGCCUGAGAGUAUGCGGCGAAUAAGUAUCGGCUAACUCCGUGCCAGCAGCCGCGGUAAUACGGAGGAUACGAGCGUUAUCCGGAUUUAUUGGGUUUAAAGGGUGCGCAGGCGGACCGUUAAGUCAGGGGUGAAAAGUUGGGGCUCAACUCCAAUCGUGCCUUUGAUACUGGCGGACUAGAGUGCAGGGGACGUGACUGGAAUGUGAUGUGUAGCGGUGAAAUGCUUAGAUAUGUCACAGAACGCCGAUCGUGAAGACAGGUCACGAAUCUGCAACUGACGCUCAUGCACGAAAGCGUGGGGAUCAAACAGGAUUAGAUACCCUGGUAGUCCACGCUGUAAAC
Molecule: ribosomal RNA, 806 nt
Filed under: uncultured bacterium
Lineage: Bacteria
Description: bacterial SSU rRNA
Rfam family: Bacterial small subunit ribosomal RNA
Source: RNAcentral